AGGAUGGGUGGAGCCUGUAGAUUUAAACAAGCACAGGAGGAAGAAGAAGUACUAGAUUACAGAAAUAAAGAAAGCAGGCCAGAGGACCUUACAUCAGAUCAGUGUCCUUGGCUCUUGGAAACCAGCCUUCUCUAACUCUGUACUGCUUAUAAGGUAGAAAGAAGAGUCUGGCUAAAUGAUAGUCAAGAGCUUAUGAAGAUCUGCGGAAGCUCUGUGAACGCACUGGGCAGCAGACAUGAGACCUGCUGCUCUGUCUCUGCAGAAAGUGCCCGUAUCAACAUGGAUCAGCCAGAAACUACAGGAGAGCUCGUCCUUCUGAGCCCAGUUACCGACACUGUUUUCCCCAGGGUAGAUUCCACAAAGCACUGGGAAUCCCCUAGGCCAAGUCCUUCCAAUUUUCCUCCCUCUUGAACUUCACAGUCACCCACACGGGACUCUGGAAGAAGUCACAUUUGAACUGCAACCAAACAUCCCAAUGUUAGUUGGAAGUCAAAAAUGUAAACUUUUUGUUUCUGGAUUGCUGGCUACAAAAGGGGACUUCUAGGUUUCAAGAGUCUUCUCUAAAAGGGUGCUCUACAGUUAUUGUUUAGAUCCUAACAGAGCUUUGCCAGUAAGGACGAUCAUUUAUGUCUCAGCUGAAUGAAAGUAUUUCCUAACUAGCCCUCCAGAAACUGGAUAACCGUGUCACUGACUACAACAAUCAGCUAGUCUUGAAGAAGAAAACAGAAUUUUAGCAACCUCUAGAAUACACAGGUUGUAAGCAAGUUGAGCUGUUAAUACACAGGAUAGAUGUCAUUGGUGCUAACUCUAAUCACACACCUGAAGCUGUGGGAUAGCUGCUGGAAGCUCAAAAUGAUUUCUGAACUGCUCAAGAGUUCAGACUAGUUAGAGAAUUGAAAAUAUUUGUUGUUUACUCUUAAGCCAUGUAAUGGACUCAGCAACUCUUAAUACACUUUGAACUCAUCAAAAUAAUUGUGACAACUUUCCAAAGAUUAGAGCUCACUGUGAUAAUGAAAUCAUACCAAAGCAUGUGAGUCCAUGGACUUCACAGUAGAAUCUGUACAAUUUUUAAUUGACACAUACUGAAAUUAGGAAUUUAGCUAUAUCGUUCUACUGCAUCAGAGUUCAGCUAGGACCCUUAGAGUUGGCGGGAGGAGCACAGAUCUCACACAUCUCCAGCACAGCCUCCCUCAACCUUGCCUUUGGUUCAUCAAUCUUGCCCCAUAUUUUAUUUUCCUGGAAAGAAAUUGGAAAGAGCUGUCUCGAUGUUCACAUAAGGGCUGUUGGCACCGUAUGUUUUUAUUCACCGUUGAGUGCCUAUUACAAUGCCUAACAGCUGGUGACCCUCACAACUACUUAUCGGAUGGGUAAUGGAUAGAUGGAUGGAUGGAUGGAUGGAUAGAAGAAAGUCAGCACAAGGUAGAUAAUUUUGGACUGCUGGAAGUAAAGAAGACUUUGUAUGUGACCUGGAAUUUAACCUGGGCUUUGGAAAAAGGGCAAAAUGUUUAACAUGUCCUCCACAUGUUAAAAAUAUACACUCUUUACUACAGCUUUUUUUUUCUAACUGCAAUCGAGGAGAUGCAUGUUAAAUUGAGUCUCACAGCUUUUUCAACACAUGUGGAUGAGAAGGUACUGUUAUAUUAAGCAACACAGUUAAUUAAAAGAGGAAAUGAAAAUCAUUCUUAAAUGACAAGGGUCCCACUUCCUCUCUGCUUU
Molecule: long non-coding RNA, 1716 nt
Organism: Bos taurus (domestic cattle)
Lineage: Eukaryota; Metazoa; Chordata; Mammalia; Artiodactyla; Bovidae
Source: Ensembl